RNAcentral lists this ribosomal RNA (254 nucleotides) under uncultured bacterium. RNAcentral's name for it is "partial 16S ribosomal RNA". It matches the Rfam family "Bacterial small subunit ribosomal RNA", at positions 524 to 776 of the family's 1533-position model. The record is from RNAcentral.
UACGUAGGGUGCGAGCGUUGUCCGGAAUUAUUGGGCGUAAAGAGCUCGUAGGCGGUCUGUCGCGUCGAUCGUGAAAACUUGGGGCUUAACCCUGAGCUUGCGGUCGAUACGGGCAUGACUGGAGUUCGGCAGGGGAGACUGGAAUUCCUGGUGUAGCAGUGAAAUGCGCAGAUAUCAGGAGGAACACCGGUGGCGAAGGCGGGUCUCUGGGCCGAUACUGACGCUGAGGAGCGAAAGCGUGGGGAGCGAACAGG